RNAcentral lists this unclassified non-coding RNA (264 nucleotides) under uncultured fungus. RNAcentral describes it as "sequence contains ITS2". The record is from RNAcentral. Lineage: Eukaryota; Fungi.
AACGCACAUUGCGCCCAUUAGUAUUCUAGUGGGCAUGCCUGUUCGAGCGUCAUUUCAACCCUCAAGCAGUUAUUUUAUGCUUGGUGUUGGGGUUUUCCGCGGUGCUUCAAGCCUGCGGGCCCUGAAAUUUAGUGGCGGGCUUACUGAGAACCCGAGCGCAGUAAUUUUUCUCGCUUAGGGCGUCACAGUGAGUUCCUUGCCGUAAAACCCCCACUAUAACAUAUGGUUGACCUCGGAUCAGGUAGGAAUACCCGCUGAACUUAA